UGGGGUGUAGCUCAGUGGCAGAGCAUUUGCCUUGCACACAGGAGGUCCUGGGUUUAAUUCCCAGCACUAAAA
This 72-nucleotide transfer RNA is filed under the name Heterocephalus glaber (naked mole-rat). It matches the Rfam family "tRNA". From Rfam's summary of the family: Transfer RNA (tRNA) molecules are approximately 80 nucleotides in length. Their secondary structure includes four short double-helical elements and three loops (D, anti-codon, and T loops). The record is from Rfam by way of RNAcentral. Lineage: Eukaryota; Metazoa; Chordata; Mammalia; Rodentia; Bathyergidae.